This 899-nucleotide ribosomal RNA is filed under the name Simulium parahiyangum. RNAcentral describes it as "partial 16S ribosomal RNA". The record is from RNAcentral. Lineage: Eukaryota; Metazoa; Arthropoda; Insecta; Diptera; Simuliidae.
UUUUAAUAUAUCUAGUUUUUUAAGAAAUUAAUUUAAUUUAGAUAUUUAAUUUUAAUAUUUUUAUUUUUUAAAAAAUUUAUAAAUAUAUAUUAAUAUUUUAAGGGAUGAGCUUUAAAAUAAAAUUAUAUAAAUGAUUUUGUUAAUUAAUAAUUGUAAGCUUAGAAUUAGUUAUCAAUAGAAAUUAUGUUUUAAUUUAUUUUAAAUUUAAUAUUAUUUAAUAUUUAUUUUAUAUUUUUUUUAUUAAAUUAUAAAUUUUAAUUUUAUAAAUUUAUUAAUAAUGAUAAAAUUAGUAAAUAUAUUAAUUAUAUAAAUAUGUUAUUUAUAAUGUUUGGUUUUUAUAAUUAAUUCGGCAAAUUUUGUGUUCACCUGUUUAUCAAAAACAUGUCUUUUUAGUAUUAUAUAUAAAGUCUAGCCUGCCCACUGAUUAAUCUUUAAAGGGCCGCAGUAUUUUGACUGUGCAAAGGUAGCAUAAUCAUUAGUCUUUUAAUUGGAGGCUGGUAUGAAUGGUUGGAUGAAAUACAAGCUGUGUCAUAAAAAUUAGUAUUUGAAUUUAACUUUUUAGUCAAAAGGCUAAAAUAAUUUUGAAAGACGAGAAGACCCUAUAGAGCUUUAUAUAAUGAUUAUUUAAAUUAUUAAGAUUUAUUAAAUUUAAUUUUUUUAUUUUAUUUUGUUGGGGUGACAAUAAAAUUAAUAUAACUUUUAUUUUUAUUUUACAUUAAUUUAUGAGUAUAUGAUCCAAUUUUAUUGAUUAUAAAUUUAAGUUACCUUAGGGAUAACAGCGUAAUUUUUUUUGAGAGUUCUUAUCGACAAAAAAGAUUUCGACCUCGAUGUUGGAUUACGAGUAAUUUUGGGUGUAGAAGUUCAAAAUUUAAGUCUGUUCGACUUUUAAAUUCUUACAU